AGGAUCAAAAUCAAGCCACUGACAUGCUUGCAUGUCAUGGGGCGAAGAUUUUAGAUCCUCGCCCAAAACGAGCAAAGUAGCCAUUUUGCCUGCAAAAUGAGCGGAUUUGCGAGUUUUGGAGCAUCGCGGGAGUGCGCAGCACGAAGCGAUGCGU
Molecule: small RNA, 154 nt
Filed under: bovine gut metagenome
Description: Clostridiales-1 RNA
Rfam family: Clostridiales-1 RNA
Source: RNAcentral